Cynocephalus volans (Philippine flying lemur) is the source of this 897-nucleotide long non-coding RNA. RefSeq lists it as uncharacterized. The transcript has 4 exons. Lineage: Eukaryota; Metazoa; Chordata; Mammalia; Dermoptera; Cynocephalidae. The record is from RefSeq and is a predicted model, not a curated record.
CGGGGACGGCUAAGGGCUACGCAUAGGUCCUGGCAUUUAAUAAACUUCGAUAAAUGUCAGCGAGGCUGAUCGUUGAAGAAUUUGAUGAAAGCCCCGGACCCAGCAGUUGGCUGGUUCGGGGAUCCAAACCCUUGACCUUAGUAUUACCAACACCACCCUCUAACCAGGUGUGGAAACCGAGGCUCAGUGAGUAGAAGCUGCAGCUGUGACUAAAGGAGUCAGGCUGGAAGAGGAGGCUGUCUUGUGUUCAAGCUUCUCAAAAGAGCUUGUCCUCCCUCACUGUUUGCCAUGUGGUCACCCUGGCCUUCCUGGAGCUUCUCAGACCUCUAGGUCUACCGCAGUCCCUGGCCUGGGAAGCUGUCCCAUCUUACCACUGACACUGAAAUGGAGUGUGAGGUGCAAGAUGGAUAUUAGGGAUCAAUUCCUGCAAGAGGAAGUGGGAGGAAGCAGGAUUGGCCAGAGAUAGAUGAACUGUGUGUGAUGCAGUCCUGACAUAGCCUCAGCCAAUCUGCUGGGGAAGCCCUGGAGCAAUGGAAAUGAUCGGAUUCUCAUACCUCGCCUUGUUCGGUCACUGAAUCUAUGCUUCUCCAGUACAGUUAGACUGCUAGCUCAGGGAAAGCACAUCUCCAUGUCUGCCAGUACUGCUGUCCCUUAUGCUUCCAGGCUUGGGUGUGUGAGUAUAUGUGUGUGUGCAGCUCACCAGCCACUUCAUCUGGGAAACCUUUCCUCAGACCUCCGAGCUCUCAUAAAACCCCAUCCUUCUUCUCCUCACCAGUUAUCACAAUUUGUAAUCACAUGUUUGUGUGUGAUUAUCUGAUUGAUAUCGGCCUUCCCUAAGAAACUAUACGUUCUAUGCAGGCAGGGACAGUCUAUUUGACUCGUAGUCCCAGAACUUAG